Salvia miltiorrhiza (redroot sage) is the source of this 2558-nucleotide long non-coding RNA. RefSeq lists it as uncharacterized. The record is from RefSeq and is a predicted model, not a curated record. Lineage: Eukaryota; Viridiplantae; Streptophyta; Magnoliopsida; Lamiales; Lamiaceae. The transcript has 3 exons.
UGCAUUGAGCCGAAAGGUCUCGUCAAAGUUAGGAUGUCUUCUCACGAGAGAGGAUGAGCUUAUAAAGGACUUUGACAAGAUGAGGAUAGAGAUGAUAAAACCACCAGGGACGAUAGCGAGUAUUGUUGAGACGAUGCCUAGUUUGAGGAAAAUGGUGAUUGAAGCACAAGGAAAGAUGAGACAAUGAACAAGUUACGAGAAAGGAUAAGAGCAGGAGAUCUCAAGAGCUACAAAAAAAAAAAAAAAAAUCAGACAAUGCUAUCUUAUUUGAGGGGAGAAGAUGCAUUCCCCGCGAUGAUGAACUUAAGAAUACGAUCAUGAGUGAGACUCAUGACACGCCUUACACCGCCCACCCAGGAGGCACACAGAUGUAUCAGGUUGUGAAAAAAAAAAAAAAAGAGAUUUUUGUGGGACGGAAUGAAACGAGACAUAGCUUUGUUUGUAGAGCGAUGCUUAGCUUGUCAGCAAGUGAAAGCAUUACACCAACGACCCUAUGGGAAGUUAAAACCGUUGGAGAUUCCCGAGUAGAAAUGGGAUCACAUAACGAUGGAUUUUGUGACAGCUUUACCCAAAAGUCAAAGAGAAAAUACAGCAAUUUGGGUGAUUGUAGAUCGACUAACAAAAUCUGCACAUUUCAUACCGAUCCUAAUCGCGUAUGGACCAGAUAAGUUAGCACAAUUGUACGUUCGUGAGAUUAUAAGAUUGCAUUGAGUACCGGUGUAGAUCACCUCAGAAAGAGAAAAUAAAUAAAUUUCAUCACAUUUUUGGAUGAGUUACAGAAAGAGUUGGGUACAAGGAUGAAUUUUAGCAUAGCAGGCGAUAGAAGAUAUGAUAAGAACUACUAUCCUUGAUAGAGGAGUAAAUCGGGAGAAUGUGUUGCCACUAAUUGAGUUUGCCUAUAAGAUGUGAGACAAAGUUUCGAGAUAGGAGACAAAGUUUUCUUGAAGGUUUCACCCUCAAAGGGGAUGAAUAGAUUUGGAGUUAAAAGACAGCUUAGACCCAGAGUUAUAAGUCCUUACGAGACAUUGCAAAAGAUAGGUCCAAUAGCGUAUAGGUUGGCUUUGCCACCUAGCUUUGGAAAUGUGCAUAACGCGUUUCACGUGUCACAAUUGAGAGGAUAUAUAUUUUCGACCCAAACCAUGUGGUUUACUAAGAAGAAAUGAUCUUAGAACCAGACUUGAGUUAUGAAGAGAGACCUCAGAUGAUGCUAGAUCAUAAAAUUUGGCAAUUGAGUAAUAAGUCGAUUGCAUUGGAUAAGGUCCAAUGGAGAUAUAAUAGUUAGAAAGAAGUGGAAAGAGAGCUUGAGGAUAAGAUGUGAGAGAAGUACCCGAAACAUUUACAAGAGGUACAAAUUUCGGGACGAAAUUUAUUUUAAGGGGGAGGGUAUGUAAUACCCGGGCUUUUGAUGACGUGUUUAAUUGCUUAAGUUUGAGUAAUUAGGGUAUAGAUCCCUUGUUUGAUUUACUUUGUAAAGAGAUGAGGAGUUAUAUGAAGUUCCCUUGUUAUUUUUAAGAUGUUGAGAUGUUCUUUUGAUGAUGUUUGGAUGAUGUGAGAUUUUAUAUCCGAAAUUGAGUUUGAGUAUUCGAAUAAUUCGAGAUAAUUAUUUGAAUGAGAACGGUGAACUCGGAAGUGAGAUCUGAGUCCGUUAAGACGUUUUUGAAAAUUUUGACUUUUUGACGAUGAAUAGUAAAAUACUGCUAUUUCGUCUUUUUGUCGACUUUCAAAAUCUUACGUGCACGUCGUCGAAAAAUAUUCUUAGUUUUUCGAUACGAGUCCAAUAAUGAAAGUUUUUAUUUUUGGACGACGAGUGAAUAGUGAACUAGAUUUUCUCGAUAAACGAACCGAGCUCGUUUAUCAGAAUUUCGAGAACGAGCUUGUGUUUUCUAUAUUUAUAUAGAAUUACGAGUGCAAUGAAAGUGAGUAGAGGUUGAGAGGGCGAGUAACGAAGAGUAUGGGUAGUUAAUCGUUAAAACGAGACGAAACGAGAUAUUUAACGACUAACGGGUUAAUAUCCUAAAUAUCUAACCUACCCUACCCCUAACCACCCCCCAACUGCCCACUAUCCCUCUAUCUCACCUAACUCACGCUAUAUCAGCCCACACCACACACACAACUCACAUAUUCACACACACAACACCUAAAACACACACUACACACGCCAUUUUCCAUUUAAGCUUGGACGGAGCUUUUGACCUCCGAUUUGAGCACCGAGACGAGCGCCGAUCAUCUUUUCGAUCACGUAUCUAAGUAGGUCCUUUUGGGAAGUAACGACUUGAGGGAGAGAGUGACGUUACUCAUUGAUACAGAGACACAACGAGGUUGAACUGAUGUGAUGAUGGUGCUGCAAUGAGCGGAGUCUCCAGGGUUGUUAAUAAAUAGUUAACCUGUCUAGAAUAUGUCUUCAUACAUAUGUCUAGCUACUUUCCGCUGCAAGAUGUUGUUGAUGUUAUAGUAUGUUAUGUCAUACUUUGAGUCUUAAGAGAAUGGUUUCAUACGAUGUAUAACUUGAUUAAUGAUAUUAAUUAAGUUUUAUGCUGUCUUUCAUAGACUGUUUUCAA